GCGGAUAUGAUCUAGUGGUAUGAUAGUGGCUUCCCAAGCCACUCACUCGGGUUCAAAUCCCGGUAUCCGCA
This 71-nucleotide transfer RNA is filed under the name Thermoplasmata archaeon. Its description in RNAcentral is "tRNA-Gly". It matches the Rfam family "tRNA". From Rfam's summary of the family: Transfer RNA (tRNA) molecules are approximately 80 nucleotides in length. The record is from RNAcentral. Lineage: Archaea; Methanobacteriati; Thermoplasmatota; Thermoplasmata.